The sequence is a transfer RNA, 72 nucleotides long. It matches the Rfam family "tRNA". Rfam says of the family: Transfer RNA (tRNA) molecules are approximately 80 nucleotides in length. The record is from Rfam.
GAUCUCGUGGCGCAAUGGUAGCGCGUCGGAUUCCAGUCCCGAAGGUUUCAGGUUCAAGUCCUGACGAGAUCA